AAAAAUUUAGUUAAUAAAUAACAUUAACUUGUCAAGUUAAAAUAAUUAAUAUUUAAUAAUUUUUU
Molecule: transfer RNA, 65 nt
Filed under: Pristolycus sp. FM14
Lineage: Eukaryota; Metazoa; Arthropoda; Insecta; Coleoptera; Lampyridae
Also listed under: 1 other name
Description: tRNA-Asp
Source: RNAcentral